Long non-coding RNA from Galleria mellonella (greater wax moth), 2574 nucleotides. RefSeq lists it as uncharacterized. NCBI's taxonomy places the organism in Eukaryota, Metazoa, Arthropoda, Insecta, Lepidoptera, Pyralidae. The record is from RefSeq and is a predicted model, not a curated record. The transcript is spliced from 3 exons.
AUAUUUUGAAUUUUUUCGAGUUUUUCUACUAAUUUAUGUUCUGAGGCAUAACAAAAGAAAGCGUAAUCAAAAUUACUUCUAACAAGAGAUUUGUAAAGUAAAAGGAUAAUUUUAGGAUCAGCUCCCCAGUUACGACCAAUUACAGAUCUUAUUAUAUUAGUGGCUCUUAAAGCACGAUCUACUAAGCAAUCAACGUAUAGAUCCCAUUUUAAAUUUUGAUGAAAAAUUACCCCCAGAAAUUUAACGCUACAGUCUGUUGGAAGAGUUUGAUUAUUAUAUAUAAUAUUCAUUAAUGGAACAUAUUUAUGAACUUGAUGAAAAACAACUACUUUACUUUUGGUUAAACUAAUAUCGAGGGAAAGAAGAGAAAAAUAUUUCUCAAGUCUUUUUAAUGACUCAUUUAACACUAAUUGCAUAUCAAUAAUAUUCUUUCCUUUUAUAUAAAUUAAUAAAUCAUCGGCAAAUUGCAAGUUGUUCACACUGUUUCCUAAAAUUGAAUUAAGUUUAUAGAUAUAUAAAAUAUAUAGUAGCGGGCUUAGAAUACCACCUUGACAUACUCCUUUAGAGCUUAACCUAGGUCCUAUUAAUUUACUAUUUACUUUAACAUACACUUCUCUAUUACUAAGAAAAUUAUAAAUCCAUUCGAUAAGUUUCAUUGGAAGAAAUGAGGAUAAAAUCGAAGAUAGAACUGUUAAAUUUACAUUGUUAAAAGCUCCUACGACAUCUAAAAAAACAGAUAGAACAUAUUCAUCGUUAUUCAAAGCAGUACUAAGGUCGACAUAGAAGUUCGCUAAACUUUCGCGCGCUGAAUCUCCACGGCGAAAACCAAAUUGAUUCGAUGGUAAUAUACUAUUACUUUCAAUAAAGAACUCUAAACGCUGUUUAAUUAAUUGUUCGAAUAAUUUGCCUGCACAGGACGUCAAUGUUAUAGGUCUAUAGGAGUCGAAAUUUGUAGGAUCUUUACCGGGUUUAAUUACUGGAAUCAAACAAUCCAUUUUCCAUUCUGGUGGGAUAAUACAGUCCUUCCAUAAAUCGUUAAAAAUUUGUAAGAGUUUAGUAAGGUUUAUUUUAUUCAGCAAUCGAAACAUAUUGUAUGUUAAGCGAUCAAGGCCACUAGCUGUAUCUUUUCUAGAUUUUACUGCACUGGAUAUUUCAUCAAUUGAGAAUGGGUCAGUGAGAAAUUUUGGGCAUGAAUUAACAGAAUUAAACUGUUUGUCAUCAAAAGAUGAGUGUACAAAAUCAGGAGUAUAUUUGCGUAAAAAAUCAUUGACCCAUGAUAUAUCUUUAAAAUGAUUUUGACGAUGUUUUGAAUUUAGUUUUCUCAUAUUUUGCCAAACAGUGGAAAUUGGUGUUAAUCUAUUAAAUUUGGAACAAAAUUCCUGCCACCCCUGUUGUCUUACUUGCUUAAUUACUAACUUUUUAACAGCUUGAACUCUUUUAAAAUUUAUGUAAUUAUCGAGAGUUGGAUUUUGUUUAAACCUAAGGUAAGCCGCUUUACUAUCAUUGACAGCUGUCGCACACCUGUUAUUCCACCAAGGUACUGCAAUAUGUUUGUGCCUCUUUGAAGUAUUUGCACCGCUAUUUGAUAAGUUCCUACGUGGAACGGAACGUUCCACAGCUGUCAAAAUAAUUUUACAGAACCUAUUGUAAUUGUUUAAGGGUUCAUUGACAUCAUACUCGAAAUCCAAAAGUAAUCGAUUAACAGUUUCAGAAUAAAGAUCCCAAUUAACGAGACGUAGGUUUAUACGAUUUAACAAAAGUUUAUUAACUUCAUCUAUAGAAGCAUGUUGUUCACCUGACGGAGUUGAUGAAGAGUUCUUUGUGUUUAUUUUAGUAAAAGUCGGCAGAUGCUGCAACGCUCAGAAUUCUUACAGAAUUUAGCUAAAUGUCCAUACCUCAAGCACCGGUAGCAUUGUUUAACUGGUGGUAUAUAUGGAGUGACAUUGUGGCGCCAACCUCCAAUAUCCAGAUAUUCAGGUAAUACAGAUGCAGCAAAAGUAAUUGUCACGGUUAGAGUUGGCUGUAACACAUAUCCAUGAGUCAAGAUUCUGAGUCAGUAGAAGUAUCUUCCGAAUAUAUAUCCUUGUCAUUACAAGGUUCAUGGUCUACAUCACCUGAAUCGUCAUCUUUUUUUUUCCUUUUUCUACAACUGCGCUUCCCCAUGAAUGCUAAUUAUAUUACUGUCGCUGAAUUUAGUGAAAAUAUAAUAUUUUAUUCAAUAAUAAGAAUUGAUAGAGAUAGUUUUAAUAAAUUAAUAAAAAAAAUUUAAAAAACCCGCUUGUUCUUAUUCGAGUUUCCCGCCUUUUUCUGGCGUGCAGGUUUUGUUUUUUGACGUUAAAUAAAUGUUUACACUUUAAAAAAAUCUUGUGAGUAUAUAAAAAAAAAAAAUAACAUCGUCCUUUUGACAACAUUAAAUAAUUUUUUUAGUGAUUGUUUGUUUACAUUAAAAAAUGCAAAAAUAUAUUAACAGAUUAGUGGACUACUUGAGUAAAAUAAUAAUAGAUUCUUUUAGUCUCUAUUAAAAAUCUACCUACUUAUCUAUAUAAUGUAAAUAGAUUUUAACAGAGAUAAAGU